RNAcentral lists this ribosomal RNA (948 nucleotides) under Escherichia coli. RNAcentral describes it as "partial 23S ribosomal RNA". It matches the Rfam family "Bacterial large subunit ribosomal RNA", at positions 1 to 981 of the family's 2925-position model. Lineage: Bacteria; Pseudomonadati; Pseudomonadota; Gammaproteobacteria; Enterobacterales; Enterobacteriaceae. The record is from RNAcentral.
GGGUUGUGAGGUUAAGCGACUAAGCGUACACGGUGGAUGCCCUGGCAGUCAGAGGCGAUGAAGGACGUGCUAAUCUGCGAUAAGCGUCGGUGAGGUGAUAUGAACCGUUAUAACCGGCGAUUUCCGAAUGGGGAAACCCAGUGUGUUUCGACACACUAUCAUUAACUGAAUCCAUAGGUUAAUGAGGCGAACCGGGGGAACUGAAACAUCUAAGUACCCCGAGGAAAAGAAAUCAACCGAGAUUCCCCCAGUAGCGGCGAGCGAACGGGGAGGAGCCCAGAGCCUGAAUCAGUGUGUGUGUUAGUGGAAGCGUCUGGAAAGGCGCGCGAUACAGGGUGACAGCCCCGUACACAAAAAUGCACAUACUGUGAGCUCGAUGAGUAGGGCGGGACACGUGGUAUCCUGUCUGAAUAUGGGGGGACCAUCCUCCAAGGCUAAAUACUCCUGACUGACCGAUAGUGAACCAGUACCGUGAGGGAAAGGCGAAAAGAACCCCGGCGAGGGGAGUGAAAAAGAACCUGAAACCGUGUACGUACAAGCAGUGGGAGCCUCUUAAUGGGGUGACUGCGUACCUUUUGUAUAAUGGGUCAGCGACUUAUAUUCUGUAGCAAGGUUAACCGAAUAGGGGAGCCGAAGGGAAACCGAGUCUUAACUGGGCGUUAAGUUGCAGGGUAUAGACCCGAAACCCGGUGAUCUAGCCAUGGGCAGGUUGAAGGUUGGGUAACACUAACUGGAGGACCGAACCGACUAAUGUUGAAAAAUUAGCGGAUGACUUGUGGCUGGGGGUGAAAGGCCAAUCAAACCGGGAGAUAGCUGGUUCUCCCCGAAAGCUAUUUAGGUAGCGCCUCGUGAAUUCAUCUCCGGGGGUAGAGCACUGUUUCGGCAAGGGGGUCAUCCCGACUUACCAACCCGAUGCAAACUGCGAAUACCGGAGAAUGUUAUCACGGG